RNAcentral lists this transfer RNA (70 nucleotides) under Caerostris extrusa. RNAcentral describes it as "tRNA-Trp". It matches the Rfam family "tRNA". From Rfam's summary of the family: Transfer RNA (tRNA) molecules are approximately 80 nucleotides in length. Their secondary structure includes four short double-helical elements and three loops (D, anti-codon, and T loops). Further hydrogen bonds mediate the characteristic L-shaped molecular structure. tRNAs have two regions of fundamental functional importance: the anti-codon, which is responsible for specific mRNA codon recognition, and the 3' end, to which the tRNAs corresponding amino acid is attached (by aminoacyl-tRNA synthetases). tRNAs cope with the degeneracy of the genetic code in two manners: having more than one tRNA (with a specific anti-codon) for a particular amino acid; and 'wobble' base-pairing, i.e. permitting non-standard base-pairing at the 3rd anti-codon position. Lineage: Eukaryota; Metazoa; Arthropoda; Arachnida; Araneae; Araneidae. The record is from RNAcentral.
GGCUGGUGGCGCAACGGUAGCGCGUCUGACUCCAGAUCAGAAGGUUGCGUUUCAAAUGACGUCUGGGUCA